GACGAACGCUGGCGGCGUGCCUAAUACAUGCAAGUAGAACGCUGAAGGAGGAGCUUGCUUCUCUGGAUGAGUUGCGAACGGGUGAGUAACGCGUAGGUAACCUGCCUGGUAGCGGGGGAUAACUAUUGGAAACGAUAGCUAAUACCGCAUAAGAGUAGAUGUUGCAGGACAUUUGCUUAAAAGGUGCAAUUGCAUCACUACCAGAUGGACCUGCGUUGUAUUAGCUAGUUGGUGGGGUAACGGCUCACCAAGGCGACGAUACAUAGCCGACCUGAGAGGGUGAUCGGCCACACUGGGACUGAGACACGGCCCAGACUCCUACGGGAGGCAGCAGUAGGGAAUCUUCGGCAAUGGACGGAAGUCUGACCGAGCAACGCCGCGUGAGUGAAGAAGGUUUUCGGAUCGUAAAGCUCUGUUGUAAGAGAAGAACGAGUGUGAGAGUGGAAAGUUCACACUGUGACGGUAUCUUACCAGAAAGGGACGGCUAACUACGUG
Molecule: ribosomal RNA, 495 nt
Filed under: uncultured bacterium
Lineage: Bacteria
Description: partial 16S ribosomal RNA
Rfam family: Bacterial small subunit ribosomal RNA
Source: RNAcentral